GACGAACGCUGGCGGCGUGCUUAACACAUGCAAGUCGAGCGGUAAGGCCCUUUCGGGGGUACACGAGCGGCGAACGGGUGAGUAACACGUGGGUGACCUGCCCUCAGCUCUGGGAUAAGCCUGGGAAACUGGGUCUAAUACUGGAUAUGACUCCACGGUGCAUGUCGUGGGGUGGAAAGCCUUGUGCGGCUGAGGAUGGGCCCGCGGCCUAUCAGCUUGUUGGUGGGGNGAUGGCCUACCAAGGCGACGACGGGUAGCCGGCCUGAGAGGGCGACCGGCCACACUGGGACUGAGACACGGCCCAGACUCCUACGGGAGGCAGCAGGUGGGGAAUCUUGCGCAAUGGGCGAAAGCCUGACGCAGCGACGCCGCGUGA
Molecule: ribosomal RNA, 376 nt
Filed under: uncultured bacterium
Lineage: Bacteria
Description: bacterial SSU rRNA
Rfam family: Bacterial small subunit ribosomal RNA
Source: RNAcentral